Molecule: long non-coding RNA, 1196 nt
Filed under: Cricetulus griseus (Chinese hamster)
Lineage: Eukaryota; Metazoa; Chordata; Mammalia; Rodentia; Cricetidae
Description: lncRNA (ENSCGRG00015041266.1)
Source: RNAcentral
AGCACGCCUGCAAUAUCCCAAGUGGUGAAGCUAAAUGGCUUUCAGGAAUACUGAAUAAACCGAAGGAAACAAAAAAAUACUGAGGAGUUAUGAGAGGCAGGAAAGCAGAAGAUGGUGAGCAUAGAGAAGCAAGGGGAGGAGAGAAUGCCCGGGCAUCCUACCUUCCUGGUAGCUACAUGAUGUCUCUGACUCCACCUACUACCUUUCACUAUCCCUGUUUGGAUUUCCUGCCUGGCUAAAUCCUGACUGCCCAUUGGCUGAAACAGCUUUAUUCAUCAACCAAUAAGAUAAACAUAUAUUCACAGCAUAUAUAAGGGCAUCCCUUAUGAUAUGUAGACAGCAGGUCCUGAAUGCCAGAUGAAGUAUGAGAAGGAAGAAAAUCAUGUCUUACUGAGGUCAUCCAGGAAAGCCUCACAGAGAAGGUGGUCCCGAAUAGAGCCCAGAAGGACUCAAAGACAAAGAGGAAGUAUGACAACUGCAUCAAUCAAAUAAGCCUUACAGAUUGGAACAUGUAUGCACUUGCAGGGAAUGAAAAGCAAAUUGCACAGACCAAAUAUGAAUGAAAACAAAGACCAAGUUCAAAUUGUGACAUUCAGGUUUGGAGAGACUAGGAGGCAACUAAUUACAAUGCCAAGCACCGAAUCCCAGGAUGAUGAGAAUGACUCCACAGACUGAUGCUAGAAGGAUUAGUCUGACAAACGUGAACCAUGGCUAAAAAUACAACAGUAGGCAACAAGAAAAUUCUACAUCCUGUGUUGUGGAGUAUUAACUAUGUAAAAAUGUGUUAUGCUUGUUUAUGCUGCAUUUGGUUAAUUAUGUAUAGAUGUAUCACUUUUGUUUUACCUUACCUGACUAAGUCACCUGAUUGGUCUAAUAAAGAGCUGAAUGGCCAACAGCUAGGCACAGAAAGGAUAAGUGGGGCUGGUGGGUAGGGAGAAUAAAGAGAAGGUGAAAUUUAGGCUUGGGAGAGAAGAAGGAAGAGAGAAACAUGGGAGGAGGAGAGGGACACGGGGCUAGAAGCCUGGCAGCUGCCAGACAGACAGACAUGAGAAGCAGUGACAGUAAGAUAUACAGAAGAAAAGAAAGGUAAAAAGCCUCGAAGCAAAAUGCAGAUGAAGAGAAACAGGUUAUAUUAUAAGAGCUAGCAAGUAAUGAACCUAAGCUAAGGUUGAGCAUUCACAACUAAUAACCAGUCU